RNAcentral lists this ribosomal RNA (253 nucleotides) under uncultured Oscillospiraceae bacterium. RNAcentral describes it as "partial 16S ribosomal RNA". It matches the Rfam family "Bacterial small subunit ribosomal RNA", at positions 524 to 776 of the family's 1533-position model. The record is from RNAcentral. Lineage: Bacteria; Bacillati; Bacillota; Clostridia; Eubacteriales; Oscillospiraceae.
UACGUAGGUGGCAAGCGUUGUCCGGAUUUACUGGGUGUAAAGGGCGUGCAGCCGGAGAGACAAGUCAGAUGUGAAAUCCACGGGCUCAACCCGUGAACUGCAUUUGAAACUGUUUCCCUUGAGUGUCGGAGAGGUAAUCGGAAUUCCUAGUGUAGCGGUGAAAUGCGUAGAUAUUAGGAGGAACACCAGUGGCGAAGGCGGCCUGCUGGGCUUUUACUGACGCUGAGGCUCGAAAGCGUGGGUAGCAAACAGG